This 206-nucleotide ribosomal RNA is filed under the name uncultured bacterium. RNAcentral describes it as "partial 16S ribosomal RNA". It matches the Rfam family "Bacterial small subunit ribosomal RNA", at positions 524 to 728 of the family's 1533-position model. The record is from RNAcentral.
UACGUAGGGGGCAAGCGUUGUCCGGAAUCAUUGGGCGUAAAGCGCGUGUAGGCGGCUCGAUAAGUCUGCUGUGAAAGUCCAAGGCUCAACCUUGGGAUGCCGGUGGAUACUGUCGAGCUCGAGUCCGGAAGAGGAGUGUGGAAUUCCUGGUGUAGCGGUGAAAUGCGUAGAUAUCAGGAGGAACACUCGAUGGCGAAGGCAGGUCU